AAAUGUGCAUAAACUAGGGUUAGGAAAGUGUGUCAUCCUUCUAUUGGAAAUUAACGUACGCAUUUUUGGGGAGUGGAAACGACGUUGUGCAACCGGCUUUAGAAAUUUGACCUUUAGUACAGUUUUAUUCAUUUUUCACACAAAAUCUAUGUGUUACAAGGGAAAAAUACCCCGUCGUUACAAAUACGUGCUCGUGCGUACGGGAAUGGAAAAAAGUUGGAAAUAUACAUCAAGAUGCUUGUGUGAUGUGAUACAUCUUGAUAUCCUUGAGAACUUGAAGUUUACCAGGCUCUCUGUCGAAUUUUGUUGCGAGAGCAGAAAUGUCCAAUUGUUUCUCUAGUUCGGUACGCUUCAGUGAUGCUUUCUUCAGCCAAGAGUUUCGGUAUGACGAGAAGCGGCAGGAUUUGCAGGAGGUCUGGAGAAAAGAGAUCCCUUUUGGAAGGGGAUGUCCACAAUGCAAAUGAACAAUUUAGCAGACUGAGCAGAAGCGCCAAGACUGGCAGAACGUGAUCGGUCGUACCUGGAAACAAGGUAGCCUUAAAACUGAAUUUUUGCAUGUUGAUAGUCGUAACUUGAUUAGAUUUGUUGAGUGAAGGCCAAGUCUCAAGCUCUUCAAUCAAGUGCCUGUCAUUGAAUUUCA
Non-coding RNA from Physcomitrium patens, 640 nucleotides. Lineage: Eukaryota; Viridiplantae; Streptophyta; Bryopsida; Funariales; Funariaceae. The record is from RefSeq and is a predicted model, not a curated record.